GAUGAAGAACGCAGCGAAAUGCGAUAAGUAAUGUGAAUUGCAGAAUUCAGUGAAUCAUCGAAUCUUUGAACGCACAUUGCGCCCCUUGGUAUUCCGAGGGGCAUGCCUGUUCGAGCGUCAUUAUAACCCCUCAAGCUCAGCUUGGUGUUGGGGCCUGCUGCACUGGCAGCCCUUAAAAUCAGUGGCGGCGCCAUCUGGCUCUAAGCGUAGUAAUUCUUCUCGCUAUGGAGUCCUGGUGGAUGCUUGCCAUCAACCCCCAAUUUUUCUAUGGUUGACCUCGGAUCAGGUAGGGAUACCCGCUGAACUUAAGCAUAUCAAUGCGGAGGA
Molecule: unclassified non-coding RNA, 327 nt
Filed under: soil metagenome
Description: partial contains 5.8S ribosomal RNA, internal transcribed spacer 2, and large subunit ribosomal RNA
Rfam family: 5.8S ribosomal RNA (bases 1-120)
Source: RNAcentral